This 253-nucleotide ribosomal RNA is filed under the name uncultured bacterium. RNAcentral describes it as "partial 16S ribosomal RNA". It matches the Rfam family "Bacterial small subunit ribosomal RNA", at positions 524 to 776 of the family's 1533-position model. The record is from RNAcentral.
UACGUAGGGUGCAAGCGUUAAUCGGAAUUACUGGGCGUAAAGCGUGCGCAGGCGGCUUUGCAAGACAGAUGUGAAAUCCCCGGGCUCAACCCGGGAACUGCGUCCGAUACUGGAAGGCUUGAAUCCGGGAGAGGGAUGCGGAAUUCCAGGUGUAGCGGUGAAAUGCGUAGAUAUCUGGAGGAACACCGGUGGCGAAGGCGGCAUCCUGGACCGGUAUUGACGCUGAGGCGCGAAAGCCAGGGGAGCAAACGGG